This 383-nucleotide long non-coding RNA is filed under the name Panax ginseng (ginseng). RNAcentral's name for it is "long non-coding RNA (PGIN_LNC002204)". Lineage: Eukaryota; Viridiplantae; Streptophyta; Magnoliopsida; Apiales; Araliaceae. The record is from RNAcentral.
CAGUUUGGGCUUCCGGAGUGAUUGGAAAACCCAACCUAUCAAGGUACUCAAUAUACCCAAUCAUUUUUAGCACAUGUGGACCAACUGGAUCACGUUCACCCAUUUUGCAGUGAUACAACGCCUUGCUUGUAUCAUACCUCUCCUGUCAAGCAUGCCCUUCGAACAAUUUCUUGAGAUGCUCGAUCAUCUCAUAAGCAUCCAUCAACUCAUGUUGCUUCUGAAGCUCAGCGUUCAUGGUUGCUAGCAUGACAUAACUCACAUCCAGAGAAUCAUCUUGAUGCUUCUUGUAAGCAUUAUGCUCCGCACGUGGUGCAGUGACAGCUGGUACUGCAGGAAUGGGUCCAUCAAGGACAUAUAGCUUACGCUCUUGUUUGAGGACAAUC